GGCGCGGUGGCGGAGUGGUUAACGCGACAGAUUAGAACCAUCUUCUAUGAUUAUCUGUUCCGAUUUUCGGGCGCAUGUUCGAAUCAUGCCCGCGUCG
Molecule: non-coding RNA, 97 nt
Organism: Tulasnella sp. 403
Lineage: Eukaryota; Fungi; Basidiomycota; Agaricomycetes; Cantharellales; Tulasnellaceae
Source: the annotation of a GenBank genome assembly